Long non-coding RNA from Marmota monax (woodchuck), 3842 nucleotides. RefSeq lists it as uncharacterized. The record is from RefSeq and is a predicted model, not a curated record. Lineage: Eukaryota; Metazoa; Chordata; Mammalia; Rodentia; Sciuridae. The transcript has 2 exons.
AAGGACUUCAUUAUCACUUCUUGGGAUGGGCUGUCUUCAAAUCUGCUGGGCUGUUCAUUAACAUUUCUUUGGGAUGGACUUUGGGCCUAGGGCUUUUCUCAGGACUUCAUUAACAUUCCAAGAGUUGUCCUGGGUUUCAGGAAUUCAUUCUCAACAUGGCCUCCAUUUUAGAUCUUACUUGAUAUUAGACCGGAUUUACCUAACUACACUGACUACUUAAUUUUAAAUCUGGCUUCACCAGGUCUCCUGCACUUCCCUCCUGGUGUGGGGCUCCCUCCCAGGUGCAGGCUACAGGUGGUCACAGGAGCCCAGGUCUCCUGCCACCUCUCUUCCCAGGUGCAGGGCAGAGAAGUGUGGAUAUUCAUGGAUCUUAGCCACUGUUCCUCUUAUGGCCACCUCUUUCUUUUCUGCAGACAUCCUAAAAUGCAAGUAUGACUGGUGUCUACUCUGUCUAUUACUGGAGUUUUUGUUUGUGUAUUUGUUUGACACUAGAAAUUGAUUCCAGAAGCUCUUUUACAACUGAUCCAUGUCCCCAGCCCUUUUUAAAAUUUUUCAGACAGGAUCUCCCUAAGUUGCUUAGAGUCUUGGUAAGUUGCUGAGGCUGGCUUAGAACCUGCAAUCCUCCUGCCUCAGCCUCCUGAGCCAUUGAGAUUAGAGGCAUAUGCCACCACACCCAGCAUACCUGCAGACCUUGAUGGGUGCCCUAUCAGCGGACACUGAGUCCCUUGAAGGUGGCCUGUGCUCUCUGAGUGGCUGGGAUCCUCCUUCCUGCUGGGGAAAAGCCAGGUCUUCCCCGGCAGGUCAGCAUGCAGAGUGUGACAUUCACAGUGGAUGUCUUGUAGCCUGGAGUCCUGCUCCUGGGUGCACCUGGUGUAUUAAUGCGCUUGUCCACCAGGCCUGGAAUACCAUUCCUAGAAACUGCAGAUUUCCAGUGGCUUCCCAAUCUCCCAUCCCUUUCUGCAUGUUAAAGCAUUUCAUUGGGAGAUAGGAAAGUAUAAAUUUAUGUAAUUAACUCUACCAUACAACUCAAAAGUUCCUAUAUGAAUUUAAAAAUGUUGGUUUAAGUUACUCUCCCUAAAAGCAGUUUUAAGAUAUUCCCCCUAAUUUAUCCUGGAUUGCCUCUCUUUCUGUCUGUCUGUCUGUCUGGUCUAUCUAUCUCUUCACCUGCUUCACGCGGUGCAUCUCAACACCUCUGGACACAGACGGAGAAACCUUCCCUGGUGAAUUAACAGCUCACUGGCACCUCCCGCUCACUGGCGGGCAGAGCAUGGUGGCUGUGGGGUGCCUCUUGCUGGCAGGCAUCUGUGGCAACCUGGACCCCCUCCGUGGGCCUGCGCUGCCCCCUGCUGCCUUCCUGGAGCAUGUACCCACUGUCCACUGCUGGAGAAGGCAGCCUGUGCGCCUUUCCUGAAGGGAACCUGGAGUCCUCCUUUGUAGUUUACCGUCAUGUGCCUUAGAGCUGUGGACUGAUGAUCUAUCGCAUCAGCUAGAAACAAUCUCUGCCUAAAGCCCUGGGUGCCUGGAGCUACUUCCACGUUGCCCCAGGCCUGUGGAAUCGGACAGAACCACCGUGGUGUGUGCAGUGCCAGGAGGCGUCUCCCAGCAGCACUGAGCCCCAGCACCCUGGAGGCAGGGGAGGUGACUGGCUGGGAACGAAGGCAACAGAAAUGGCCAUGAAGUUCUGAGAUGUGGAAGGUGCCCCAGACAGGGACCCGGUCCCGUGGCUUUACUCUAGACAGUACCAAGUGUUAGAGUCUGUAAACAAGUCAGGAUGGCACCUGGUAUUUUGCCAGGGGGAGUGGUUUGUGAGGUGGCUCCAGCGAGCCAUUAAGUGUGGAGAUUCCUUAUUGGUUGACUGCUGUAUCUAUUUUAUGUUAAUUAAGAUAAGCUGUGUGGAAUGUAUAAAUACCUCGGUUGUCCUACAAUAAACGGCUCCCACUCCUGCUGUAUCAAUGCACACAAGUUGCUCGUCACCCCCCAAUUACUUUGCUGCAGCCAGACUGCAGCAACCAAGAGCAGUGUGAGCACUGCUUGAUUCACCUUGACUGAGUGCAGAAACCCAAGUGAGCUAAUGCAAGUUCACCAUCUUGGGGCGUGGGGGAAUCAAUCAGCAAACAGCCCACGGCACAGGUGAUGUCGCAUGGUAAGGCCACUCCAAGGCUUCACCCAGGAGAAGCCUUUAGGAGGACAGUCCCAGGACCUGGGUGACGGUAGGGAACACAUUGGCUGGGAAAUUUGAUAUUUUAAAAACUUUAUUAUGGCGAGUUUGAAAACAAAGGGUAACACGGGGGAGAGUAAUAACCUGUACCCUGUGUGCCUACCUCUUGAAUUCAUCAUGAGCAGCGUUUCGCCAUGUCAUUUCACCUACCCCAGUCUUUUGGAAACAAGGUGUUGUUUCCUCCACUUUCCAUGAUACUCAACUUCCAGGAUGGCAGCAAUUGGCCUGCAAGCCCGAGAGCCGCUGCUCCCUCCCUUAGCUUCUCCCCAGCUGUGCCGACGGGUUGCUGACACUUGACAAUACCCCCUUAGAUGUUCUCCAUGACUCUUUGGCAGAUGUGAGACCACUGCUACAGCCAAGAUACAGACCACCCACAAGUGCCAGCACGUUCCCUCCCGCACCUCUGCCUGUGGUCACUGAUGGGCUUUCCCUAGCUGCAGCACAUCAUUUCCAAACUGCUCAGUCCCUUGUGUUGUCCCUCUCGUGGACCGCGAUGGCUUUGAGAUUCAGUGCGUCCGUGCACCACGGGUGGGCCAUUCCUGCUUGCUGAUGAAGACGUCCUGUUGGAUGGACAGACCACAGCCUGGUCAGCACUUCUCGUGGUGUGGCCAGAGGCACUUGGCUCGCCACUUUUUUGCUGCGGUGACUGUAGACCCCCGAACACCAAAACAAAAUGUUCAUGUGCACGGUCUGUGUUUCCUUCGCAAGUACUCAGGAGUGACAUUGCUCAAUGUUGUGAUAAGCAUUGGCUCAAACUGCCAAACCCUUGGCAGAGUGGUUCUGUUGUGGGUAAGAGAUCCAGGUCUGUGUGCCUGUGUGAGGAUGGCCUUGGGCCUGAGCCUAAGCAACUCCAUUUUAAAAAUUCCAGUUGAAACCUGCAGUCUCACUAGGCACUCCCACAGAGCCCUCUAGUGUGGCCUCAGACAAGUUACUUCCCCACACCCUGAUAAACAGAGUAAAGUCCCUGGCAGGCUGUCCUCACCUGAUCAGAGGGAAAGGCAAGAAGAUCAGGGUGGAGACCACCAGACCCAAAGUUUCUGACCCCAGGGUAAAUGAUGUCACUGAGAAAUCCCACAGUAGCUGAUAAGGAUUGAAAGGGAGGCAAAAGCUCCAAAAUUUAGUAUAAAUGAUAGAGCAAAUGAACAGGGAUUGAGCCAGCCAAAACAAGGAUGCACUUGAGCUGGAGAGCCUAAUGAGGAUCUGACAUCCCGUCACUUGUCAUUGUUCCUGAGCCUCUGCGUGAUCCUCACUGCUCUCAAACUCUACCACCUCAUCUGGACCUUGGUGAGAGCUGCAACUCCUCCCUACAACCCCCUCCUCAAACAGUCAUUCACUCGAUGCCAGGAAAAGCCCCUUGGUUCCAGACCUGGUCACCAGAGUGAGUGUGCAUCUGCUGGACUUAAAGCCUAAGGCUUCAGACUUUUGAACUUAGCACACAGAGGGAAUGUCUGUCAUUAGCCUGUCAUGAUUAAGUGUGUUUUGCAGUGCUUAGAAUUAAUCUAGAAUUGCUUGCUGUGAACUGAUUAUUGCCUAGUAUUAGGAAUUGUCGUUUUCUUGAUUAAGAACCUAUAGAAUGAAAUUGUACUGAGCAAUUUGAGUGAAUAAAGCAUUGAAAGGCGCAGAA